GGGCUCGUAGUCUAGUGGCUAUGACGUCUGCUUGACGUGCAGAAGGUCCCCGGUUCGAAUCCGGGCGGGCCCA
Molecule: transfer RNA, 73 nt
Filed under: Candidatus Woesearchaeota archaeon
Lineage: Archaea; Nanobdellati; Candidatus Woesearchaeota
Description: tRNA-Val
Rfam family: tRNA
About the family: Transfer RNA (tRNA) molecules are approximately 80 nucleotides in length. Their secondary structure includes four short double-helical elements and three loops (D, anti-codon, and T loops). Further hydrogen bonds mediate the characteristic L-shaped molecular structure. tRNAs have two regions of fundamental functional importance: the anti-codon, which is responsible for specific mRNA codon recognition, and the 3' end, to which the tRNAs corresponding amino acid is attached (by aminoacyl-tRNA synthetases). tRNAs cope with the degeneracy of the genetic code in two manners: having more than one tRNA (with a specific anti-codon) for a particular amino acid; and 'wobble' base-pairing, i.e. permitting non-standard base-pairing at the 3rd anti-codon position.
Source: RNAcentral